Molecule: transfer RNA, 72 nt
Filed under: Camelus bactrianus (Bactrian camel)
Lineage: Eukaryota; Metazoa; Chordata; Mammalia; Artiodactyla; Camelidae
Also listed under: 2 other names
Rfam family: tRNA
About the family: Transfer RNA (tRNA) molecules are approximately 80 nucleotides in length. Their secondary structure includes four short double-helical elements and three loops (D, anti-codon, and T loops).
Source: Rfam by way of RNAcentral
GAAGGUAUAGCUCAGUGGUAGAGUACAUGCUUAGCAUGCACAAGAUCCUGUGUUCAAUCCCCAGUACCUCCA